RNAcentral lists this transfer RNA (71 nucleotides) under Pseudomonadota bacterium. RNAcentral describes it as "tRNA-Ala". It matches the Rfam family "tRNA". Rfam says of the family: Transfer RNA (tRNA) molecules are approximately 80 nucleotides in length. The record is from RNAcentral. RNAcentral also lists the same sequence under 6 other names. Lineage: Bacteria; Pseudomonadati; Pseudomonadota.
GGGGCUGUCGCAUAAUGGGAGUGCGCCGCGGUCGCAUCGCGGAGAUGCGGGUUCGAUUCCCGCCAGCUCCA